This 101-nucleotide small nucleolar RNA is filed under the name Myotis davidii. RNAcentral's name for it is "Small Cajal body specific RNA 1". It matches the Rfam family "Small Cajal body specific RNA 1". From Rfam's summary of the family: scaRNAs are a specific class of small nuclear RNAs which localise to the Cajal bodies and guide the modification of RNA polymerase II transcribed spliceosomal RNAs U1, U2, U4, U5 and U12. ACA35 belong to the H/ACA box class of guide RNAs as it has the predicted hairpin-hinge-hairpin-tail structure, conserved H/ACA-box motifs and is found associated with GAR1. The record is from Rfam by way of RNAcentral. Lineage: Eukaryota; Metazoa; Chordata; Mammalia; Chiroptera; Vespertilionidae.
ACACUCUAUCCACUGAACCAAACCAGCUAGGGUAAGCCAUGAAUAUUUUAAACGCAGUGUGCGAAGACAUACUCUGAGUUAUAUAAUUCAGUGGCACAACU